This is a long non-coding RNA of Cygnus olor (mute swan), 1912 nucleotides long. RefSeq lists it as uncharacterized. The record is from RefSeq and is a predicted model, not a curated record. The transcript has 2 exons. Lineage: Eukaryota; Metazoa; Chordata; Aves; Anseriformes; Anatidae.
CCUGUUUAAGGCAACCGAGGGACACACAAGGCAGCUUUAGGGCUGCUCCUUUUACUUCUCACCUGAUCCAUUUUUUUGGAAAUGGCUUCUUAGAAGAAGGGCAAACAUAAUAAGGCAGCUACUGUCCUUUUUAUAACUCUCAGUCAGGUCUUUGAUUUGGGCCAGCAAGGAAGCUUGUUAGAUCUGAUAAAAGCAACUAAGCAUCUCUGGAAAAUGCUAUUAAAAACAGAACAUGAAACAAAUGAAAAGCUGGGAGACUUAAUGGUAAAUACAUGGCCUGGAAGUUCAGCACAGCUACAUCCUGUUUGCCAUUAUUAUUUAAUACUGGCAUCGAUUGGUUGACAGAUAAGACAGAGCAGGCAAUUCUCCGUGGAGUUUACUUGAAUACCAUUUCACUUUGAGAUUAAAAAAAGCCCAGAUCACACUGUCUUGUUGGGAAAUGUUAAUGUAGCGGUGCUGCUGACUACUGCGGUCAAUCAGUAAAAAAGAAAAACCCUCUUUCUUUGAUCGUCUACAUGGACAAAACCCAAGUCUCUGCUAACAAUGAAACAGUGCCCGACUCCAGACUGGAACUAGUGCAGCACUACACCGCUCCUCUGAAUAAUAACCUGUAUGUUCUCCAUCCCAAAUACAGGUAAACUGUUCAUAUGGAACAGCUAUUGUCAUUGCUCAGGCUCUUUGGUGCAGCUGCGGAGAGGUCUUUAUUAAUUUUUGUGAGAGCCCCCAGAAUCACAGAACGACUUGUACCAGCUCUCCCUUUCACAAGUGACACGUUGCACACAAAGAGAAGGCUGAGGAGCAAUUACUUCCACCAUCACCACCUUGGCCGCCCUGAUUUCAUGGCAGAACAGUUAGCAACACAGACGGGGAGGCUCAACUCAGCAACUGCUUCCAUCAGGUUUGUAACAACCAAGCUAGCAAGACUCGAUGCAGGACCACGUAGACAGGGAAGGUGAUUUUUAUUUUCAAGACUUAUCUCACCCACUCGUUCUUGCACAUUCACAUACUCACUAGCAUCAAGACAUGUGUCCAAAUGGUCCGGUCAAGACUGCCUACAGUGAAACAGAAGGCAAGGAACGUUGUCUAUCAGAUCCUUCUCAUGCCUUUGUGGCUCACACUGAGCAGCAAAGACACCAGAUGACAUUUACACUCUUCAUAUUCUUUCUUAGUACAGACAGCUCUGGGCCCAAGUUGCGUCACGCUGCUGUUGCUCCGCAUCUGCACUGUGGCCUCAUCCGAGGUGACUUUCAGAACUUGGAAGCAGGAUGAUGGCAAAACAAAAACAAACAAAAAAACAGAACGACAGACGAAAUGGGAUACUUUGAGCUUCCUUCCCUGUCCUGGAGGUGUGCAGCACCUUGUGUGUGGCACACAGAAGCCAGCUCCAGCACAGCACUGAUAAAGGAGCUGCAGGAAAGUGCAGCUGAAGAGCUUGGAGCACGGCUUUUUCUCCCCAGGACUGAGCAGCUGUCCUGAAACUGGAUGUGGGGCAAAGCCACAAGGGAACAAGAGGGAAAAAAGAGAGCAGCUACUCCCCAUUUUCUAGAGGUUCUAACAAAUGUCUGUAUUUCUGUGUCUUCUACCAGCAGAUAAGAAACCCAGCCUGUCCUUAGGAGAACUUGGCUCUCCAGCAAAACAAUUUCUCAACAGCCAUUUUUAUUGCUUCUGACAAUAUACUACUGGGAGAAAGAAAGAAAUAACGUUCUGCAAUUCUUUAGUUUCUUUCUUUAUUAGAGUACGCAAAUUUCCUGGGACUAUUGAUAAAAGAAAACGUAAAUGGUCAACUUUUCAUCUCAUCUGACAAUGCAAGUGAAAAGAGUUGGAAAUUCCCCAAAGCAGGCUACUCAGGUAAGAAUAGCACAGCAGAGCUGCCCAAGUAACAACUCCACAGAUUAAUUAACAUUUGCAUGGA